Molecule: small nuclear RNA, 104 nt
Filed under: Canis lupus familiaris (dog)
Lineage: Eukaryota; Metazoa; Chordata; Mammalia; Carnivora; Canidae
Source: RNAcentral
GUGCCCACCUCUGAAGCAUGCAUACUAAAAUUGGAACAAUACAGAGAUUAGCAAGGCCCCUGUGCAAGGAUGGCAUGCAAAUUCAUGAAGCAUUUUAUAUUUUG